This 253-nucleotide ribosomal RNA is filed under the name uncultured bacterium. Its description in RNAcentral is "partial 16S ribosomal RNA". It matches the Rfam family "Bacterial small subunit ribosomal RNA", at positions 524 to 776 of the family's 1533-position model. The record is from RNAcentral.
UACGUAGGUGGCAAGCGUUGUCCGGAUUUACUGGGCGUAAAGAGCGCGCAGGCGGUCGUUCAAGUCGCGUGUGAAAGCCCCCGGCUCAACUGGGGAGGGUCACGCGAUACUGAUCGACUCGAAGGCAGGAGAGGGUAGUGGAAUUCCCGGUGUAGUGGUGAAAUGCGUAGAUAUCGGGAGGAACACCAGUGGCGAAGGCGAGUCUCUGGACAUUUCCUGACGCUGAGGCACGAAAGCCAGGGGAGCAAACGGG